CUGAUAGCUGCUAAUGAAGAUGAUUUUAAAAAAGCUUCUUCAAAAUGAAAAUUUUAUUACUAUUAUUAUUAAUAUGCCCAGAGCAAGGAGUUAAAACAAAGAAGAGCAAAGGAUUAAAAUAAAUAUAACCAUAUACAUUUAAGUCCUUGCAAACAUCUGCAAGUUUCUUCUGCCUGGAGCCUGGAUCUCUAGACUGGUAAACACAGACUUCUCUGCUGCAUUUCCACCCAGGAAGCUGGCACCCCAUUCAAACUCUAAGCUAGCAUUUUUAAGCCACUGAUUGUAAAUGAAACUUAAGAAGAAGUACUGUUUCUAGUCUAGUUGGAUGCGGGCCAAGGGUGUUUCUGAGUUAAACAGGUUUAAGUUGUUAAUGAUCUACUUUAACUCUGUGAAGUCAGAUCAUGUAAUACGGCAAGACUGAGCAAUUACCGAGAUGUGUGUGCUAGCUACUAAAAUAAAUAACUAAAUAUACCCUUCUCCUGAACACCGUAAUGUCUGUGGAGUGGUUGUUCCUCUUCUCCUGAAGAAAUUACUCAGUUUGCAUGCCUGGCUCUAGAGAAAAAGGUAGUGAGAGGCCUGAGGAUGUGAAGAGUAACAGCUGAGGUAGUAUUUGUCCUUAUGAAGUAAUAAAGAAUUAUUAAGAACUUAAGAUAUUUUAUUGUUUGGGGGAUUUAAAUGGUAUAUGAAAGAGGUUAGAAUUUCAUCAUUAAAAGUAUGACUUUUUUGUUGCUUUUUAACAAACAAGAGAAAAGGAGAAUCAUAAAGAACAAUCAGGGAAGAUGAUACACCAUUUUUGAGGAGCAAACAAAUAGAAGUCAAUAUGAAAAAGAUAACAAAAGGAAAUCCUGACUGCUGUACUCCAGUUCAGCCUCUCUGGCUGAUAUUUAAACCUGUGCUUGGCUUCUCACCGCUUCUCAACUGAAGAGCAUAAAAGCAAAGAUUCCACUAGGUGAGAUCACUGAUUUUGAGAACAUACUUUAUAGAUUUAAAAAAAAUAUAAUUAUCUGCUUGUGCCGUUCUUGCACUUUGUCCUCUUUCAAUGACACCUGGGAGCACCCUAAGUGAAUAUGGAGGCUGGAUGUCUCACCAAAGCCAUAUAAAAGGCCAGGGCCAAAUGGCUAACAUUAUAAUACAUUAAUGUUAUAUUAACAUAGUAUAUUUACAGUCUCAUUGUUCUCAUUUUGAUGUAAACCAAUAUCGUAUUGGAACUGCUAUUUUUGAUCCACCUGCCUGUAGUUUAGCAUUUGGAUGCAGAAUUUUGACACUUGCAUAGUCUUUCUGAUAUUAAGGGCAGAGAACAGACUCCAAAUGACUCCAUUCCAG
This 1323-nucleotide long non-coding RNA is filed under the name Struthio camelus australis. RNAcentral describes it as "lncRNA (ENSSCUG00000014700.1)". Lineage: Eukaryota; Metazoa; Chordata; Aves; Struthioniformes; Struthionidae. The record is from RNAcentral.